This 340-nucleotide ribosomal RNA is filed under the name Marinobacter algicola. RNAcentral's name for it is "bacterial SSU rRNA". It matches the Rfam family "Bacterial small subunit ribosomal RNA", at positions 53 to 392 of the family's 1533-position model. Lineage: Bacteria; Pseudomonadati; Pseudomonadota; Gammaproteobacteria; Pseudomonadales; Marinobacteraceae. The record is from RNAcentral.
ACAUGCAGUCGAGCGGUAACAGGGGGAGCUUGCUCCCCGCUGACAAGCGCGGGAGGGAUGAGAAAUGCACAUGAAACUGCGCCUCUGUGGGGGAUAGCCCGGGGAAACCCGGAUUAUUACCGCAUACACUCUUUGGGGAAAAGCAGGGGAUCUUCUGACCUUGCGCUAUUGGAUGUGCCUAUGUCGGAUUAUCUCGAUGUUGGGGUGAAAGCCUACCAUGGCGACAAUCCGUAGCUGUGCUGAGAGGAUGAUCAUCCUCAUCGGGACUGGACACGGCCCGAACUCCUACGGGAGGCACCAUUGGGGAAUAUUGGACCAUGGGGGCAACCCUGAUCCAGCC